This is a long non-coding RNA of Anopheles gambiae (African malaria mosquito), 1484 nucleotides long. RefSeq lists it as uncharacterized. NCBI's taxonomy places the organism in Eukaryota, Metazoa, Arthropoda, Insecta, Diptera, Culicidae. The record is from RefSeq and is a predicted model, not a curated record. The transcript has 2 exons.
AAUCGGCUCCGGAAUCGAUUCCGUAAUCGACUCCGGAAUCGGAAUCGGUUCCGGAAUCAAAAUCGGCUCUCGAAUCAGAAUUUGCUCCAAAAUUUGAAUCGGCUUUCAAACGGAGUCAGUUUCGGCAUCGCCAUAAAAAUAGGCGUUUUGGUCCAAUCAUACUACGUAUUGAUAACCGCAAAAAAAUCAAAAUUUACUUUUAAAAGAUCCUUUCUCAUGGAGAUUCCCGGACUGAUUUCGAUUCUAAAACUUUUUUUUUCAAUUGUGGAACUAAUUCACAUUCCGGAGCUAAUUCUAAUUCGGAAGUCAAUUAUGAGUCCGUAAUAGGGGCAAAUUGCGAUUCCUAGGUCAAUUCCGAUUUCGGAGCCGAUACUGAUCGCGGAAUCGAUUCCGGAGCCGACUCGGGAAUAGGCUCCGUAGUCAACUUCGGGAUCGGCUCCGAAGUCCAAUCUGGAAAGUAUCUAGUCUAGUUUGAUUGUUUUUAUAUCACACACUAGAACAUUUAUCUCAUAGAACACUUACACAUUAAAACUUAUCAAGUAGUAAAAAAGCGAUACGUUCUGACCAACGGUCGAGGAAGAAGACGGAUACUCAACCUGAGAACCCUAUCACUCACGGAGCUCACGUCAUCAACGUGACUGUUUCUUGACACUUGUAAGCGACGUAUUGGCGAUGCACACAAAGCUCCUAACAAUAAAUUACAAACAAUUAUCAAAUUUGAUAUGUUAUAUAUAAUUAUGCAAUUUUCCUAAUUCUAGUAAGUUUGCACUUACUCAAAAAAAAAUCAAGAAUUUUGUAAACAAGAUUCAACAAUUCAACCAACUGAAUUCAAUGACGCGCAAUGCUUUCAAUCAACAAAGUUCCGUUUAAUCAACACGAUUGCCCAUCGAACCAAUCAUUGUAAUUAAAUAUCAAUUCCACGAACUUAAAACACAAGACUGUACUGUGUAAAAGGAAACAUCCGAACAAGCAUCGAUAAAUAAAGUCAAUAAAAACUUGCUUGUCUUACGGUCGGGCACGCAAAAUUUGCUGCCGUUUCUUCGAUUCGCAUUGUUUUGCACGACAGUCGUGAGAUGCAAGCGAAUUCCAAGCCAUUCCAAGAACACUGCAAACCGGCAAAGCGGUGGCACAUUGUUGCAACAGCCUCGACCACAGUGACAAUACAAAAUGAACGAGACGGGAAAGCAUCACGUGAAGAGACACCAAGGGGGACUAUCAACGAGCACUAUUACUAGCUGGAUUACUGGACCGGAGGACCAUACUACCGUACGGAGCUAGGAUGAAGCUGUACCCGUUGCAUUCGUUGAUUUUGCUUCUGCUACCAAUUCUAGCGAUACGUUCCUUUACAACAUUUUCUUAAUUUUAAUGCUUCUCGCGUUUUACCGCAUCGCCAGACACUCGGCACGCGAUUGCACUUUUGCUUUUUCUGUUCUGCCUUUUUUCUUCUUCUUCUUUUGGUAUAAACCUUAUCCCAUCGCACCAGC